RNAcentral lists this ribosomal RNA (497 nucleotides) under uncultured bacterium. RNAcentral's name for it is "partial 16S ribosomal RNA". It matches the Rfam family "Bacterial small subunit ribosomal RNA", at positions 28 to 507 of the family's 1533-position model. The record is from RNAcentral.
GAUGAACGCUGGCGGCGUGCCUAAUACAUGCCAGUCGAGCGAACAGACGAGGAGCUUGCUCCUCUGACGUUAGCGGCGGACGGGUGAGUAACACGUGGAUAACCUACCUAUAAGACUGGGAUAACUUCGGGAAACCGGAGUUAAUACCGGAUAAUAUAUUGAACCGCAUGGUUCAAUAGUGAAAGACGGUUUUGCUGUCACUUAUAGAUGGAUUCGCGCCGCAUUAGCUAGUUGGUAAGGUAACGGCUUACCAAGGCAACGAUGCGUAGCCGACCUGAGAGGGUGAUCGGCCACACUGGAACUGAGACACGGUCCAGACUCCUACGGGAGGCAGCAGUAGGGAAUCUUCCGCAAUGGGCGAAAGCCUGACGGAGCAACGCCGCGUGAGUGAUGAAGGUCUUCGGAUCGUAAAACUCUGUUAUUAGGGAAGAACAAAUGUGUAAGUAACUAUGCACGUCUUGACGGUACCUAAUCAGAAAGCCACGGCUAACUACGUG